This 691-nucleotide ribosomal RNA is filed under the name Inocybe sp. PNG02. Its description in RNAcentral is "eukaryotic LSU rRNA". It matches the Rfam family "Eukaryotic large subunit ribosomal RNA", at positions 32 to 701 of the family's 3401-position model. Lineage: Eukaryota; Fungi; Basidiomycota; Agaricomycetes; Agaricales; Inocybaceae. The record is from RNAcentral.
ACUUAAGCAUAUCAAUAAGCAGAGGAAAAGAAACUAACAAGGAUUCCCUUAGUAACUGCGAGUGAAGUGGGAAAAGCUCAAAUUUGUAAUCUGGCGGCUCUUUACCGUCCGAGUUGUAAUCUAGAGAAGUGCUACCUGUGCUGGACUGUGUACAAGUCUCCUGGAAUGGAGCAUCAUAGAGGGUGAGAAUCCCGUCUUUGACACAGACUGCCUGUGCAUUUAUGGUAUGCUCUCAAAGAGUCGAGUUGUUUGGGAAUGCAGCUCAAAAUGGGUGGUAAAUGCCAUCUAAAGCUAAAUAUUGGCGAGAGACCGAUAGCGAACAAGUACCGUGAGGGAAAGAUGAAAAGAACUUUGGAAAGAGAGUUAAACAGUACGUGAAAUUGCUGAAAGGGAAACGCUUGAAGUCAGUCACGUUGGCCUAGAAAUCAACCUUUGCUUUUGCUUGGUGUACUUUCUGGUCAAUGGGUCAGCAUCAAUUUUGACCACUGGAUAAAGUCUUUGGGAAUGUGGCAUCUUUUGGAUGUGUUAUAGCCCAUUGUCGCAUACAAGUGGUUGGGAUUGAGGAACUCAGCACGCUUCAAAGGCCGGGUUUUGACCACGUUCGUGCUUAGGAUGCUGGCAUAAUGGCUUUAAUCGACCCGUCUUGAAACACGGACCAAGGAGUCUAACAUGCAUGCGAGUGUUGGGGUGG